GUAGUCUCGCACAGAUGCAUAUCAAUAAGCGGAGGAAAAGAAACUAACAAGGAUUCCCUCAGUAACGGCGAGUGAAGCGGGAAGAGCUCAAAUUUGAAAUCUUGAAAGGUCACCUUUCACGAAUUGUAGUUUAAAGAAGUGUUUUCUGUUACGAUCGUAAUAUAAGUUCUUCGGAAUAGGACAUCACAGAGGGUGAGAAUCCCGUCUAUGAUUGCGAUUUGUAGCUUUGUGAUACACUUUCAAAGAGUCGGGUUGUUUGGGAAUGCAGCCCAAAACGGGAGGUAAAUUUCUUCUAAGGCUAAAUAUUGGCGAGAGACCGAUAGCGAACAAGUACCGUGAGGGAAAGAUGAAAAGAACUUUGAAAAGAGAGUUAAAUAGUACGUGAAAUUGUCAAAAGGGAAGCGUUUAACACCAGUGUUGUUUUCUGAAAAUCAACCUCUGUUAGCUUUAUGCAUGUUUGUUUAGACCUAAUCAGCUAUCUUGCAUGUUCUAUUGUUUGCAGUGGUGCACUUUUCAGUUUACAGGUCAACAUCAGUUUUUUUUACCGUAAAAAAGUUAAAGAAAGGUAGCUCAUGGCUCCGGUCGUGAGUGUUAUAGUCUUUUUCCUAUGCGGUAGGAGAGACUGAGGUCUGCAGUGUAGGCUAUUUGGCUAGAUACUCAGGUGCUAUGUGAUACCAUUUCAUAAACAACUUGUUGAUUAUGUUUUGUCUAUUGCAUACUCGCUUGUACUAUCAUACCUACGCUUAGGAUGUUGAAGAUGUAGCACAUCAU
Molecule: ribosomal RNA, 771 nt
Filed under: uncultured Neocallimastigales
Lineage: Eukaryota; Fungi; Neocallimastigomycota; Neocallimastigomycetes; Neocallimastigales
Description: partial large subunit ribosomal RNA
Rfam family: Eukaryotic large subunit ribosomal RNA
Source: RNAcentral